AGAGUUUGAUCCUGGCUCAGAACGAACGCUGGCGGCGUACUUAACACAUGCAAGUCGGACGAGAAAGGGGGCUUCGGCCCCUGAGUACAGUGGCGCACGGGUGCGUAACACGUAAGUAAUCUACCCUGGACUCCGGGAUAACUCCCCGAAAGGGGGGCUAAGACUGGAUAGGGUCCUCGAGGUGCGAGCCGCGGGGGAAAAGCAGGCCUCUCGACGAUGCUUGCGGUCUAGGAUGAGCUUGCGGCCCAUUAGCUAGUUGGUAGGGUAAGAGCCUACCAAGGCGACGAUGGGUAGCUGGUCUGAGAGGACGAUCAGCCACACUGGCACUGAGAUACGGGCCAGACUCCUACGGGAGGCAGCAGUGGGGAAUUUUGCGCAAUGGGCGAAAGCCUGACGCAGUAACGCCGCGUGGAGGAUGAAGGCCUUCGGGUUGUAAACUCCUGUCAGAGGGAACGAGGUGGUCCGGGGCGAAGACCUCCGGACUGCAGACGGUACCUUCAAAGGAAGCCCCGGCUAAUUCCGUGCCAGCAGCCGCGGUAAUACGGAAGGGGCGAGCGUUGUUCGGAAUCAUUGGGCGUAAAGGGCGCGUAGGUGGUUGGGCAUGUCCGCUGUGAAAGUACACAGCUCAACUGUGUUCCGUCGGUGGAAACUGCUCAACUUGAGGCUGGAAGGGGCUGGUGGAAUUCCCUGUGUAGCGGUGAAAUGCGUAGAGAUGGGGGAGAACACUCGUGGCGAAGGCGGCCAGCUGGACCAGUCCUGACACUGAGGCGCGACAGCGUGGGGAGCAAACAGGAUUAGAUACCCCAGUAGUCC
This 813-nucleotide ribosomal RNA is filed under the name uncultured delta proteobacterium. RNAcentral describes it as "bacterial SSU rRNA". It matches the Rfam family "Bacterial small subunit ribosomal RNA", at positions 8 to 796 of the family's 1533-position model. Lineage: Bacteria; Deltaproteobacteria. The record is from RNAcentral.